This 1042-nucleotide long non-coding RNA is filed under the name Homo sapiens (human). Its description in RNAcentral is "non-protein coding lnc-RWDD4-2:5". Lineage: Eukaryota; Metazoa; Chordata; Mammalia; Primates; Hominidae. The record is from RNAcentral.
GCCCGGCACCGCGGGGCUUGAUCAGGGAGAAAUGAUAUCUUCAGGGAAAAGACUUCGAAAAAGUGCCUGAAGUGACACAACACAUGUUUUCUUCUGGUAUCUGGCUAAAGAAUGAAAUCUGGCAGAAAUAUUUAAUGAAGAGGAAUCUGAACAUAGCAGUUGAGAAAGAAAGAUUGGGAGAAGACUCCAGAUGUCGUAAAGCAAAGAGAGGAUGAGGCACAGGAAGCAGCUCUUAUUAUUUCUGUUGCACUUUGGCUCAGAGAACUCCAAGCAAUUGAUUCUAUCCUGAGGACAUAUUUUUUCAAUUUGAGAUAUAAUUAAUUUGUUUUCCAGUAAAAUAGAUAUUAGUAGAUCUAUGACAUACAGGAAACAAUCGAAAAUAGAGAUAAGUGGUAAUAAUACCUCAUUACUUAAGACAUCUUUUUCAGAAAAUUAUUCUUCAGUGUGUGGUGCAUUGGCUUUCUAGGAAAGAACGGGAGGGAGAACCCUGCUGACAUGAAUAAUGGCCUGGGGGAGAGGGGGAGAGAAGCAAGAGAAAGGAGCAGUUAAGAGGAAAAUGAUGUCAUAUGGAAAGAAGGAAAUAGAUCAGGGCGUCUUUAAGAGCUAAUAUCAAUUGGGUUUAGUGUCUGUAUUUAGAGGAUGGGAGAGAAGAGGUAUCAUCUAGGGUUUUGGCUUGGGCCACAGGUAGAUCUUGUUAAGGCUGUACGAAAUAGAAAAUCCAGGAGGUAACGCAGGUGUGUGGGGGAAAUGAUACAAAUGUAAAUCAUACAAGGAUAUGAACCCUGUAGAUUUUACAACUUUGAGCUCUAUCCUUCUUAGGCCUUCUCUUCUAAGCAGCAUAAACUACUGCUGCCUACAUGUUGCCUGUUCAUAAAGGCUGAGGCAGGGGAGUCGCUUGAACUCGGGAGGCGGAGGUUGCAGUGAGCCGAGAUCAUGCCAUUUCCCUCCAGCCUGGCGACAGAGCAAGACUCCAUCUCAAAAAAAAGAAAAGAGAAGAAAAAAACAAAGAACUUUAUGCACCUUCUGGAAUAACAAAAUGCAA